This is a long non-coding RNA of Bubalus bubalis (water buffalo), 357 nucleotides long. RefSeq lists it as uncharacterized. The record is from RefSeq and is a predicted model, not a curated record. NCBI's taxonomy places the organism in Eukaryota, Metazoa, Chordata, Mammalia, Artiodactyla, Bovidae. The transcript has 2 exons.
CUCGCUGAAAUGCAAAGCCCACACUGAAAGCCCUCUGAGGCACAGCGGCGCCUGACGCCUGGGGUAGCGUGUAUCCUGUAGGUGUCACCCCCAAACAGCUGUGAGCACUCAAAGCUAAAACGCUGUUCAGGAUGAUUUCUGCUUUCCACCUUCCUAUGGGGAUCAGGCCAGAGUCACAGCCAUCUGAGGGUCCCUGAGGGAAAGUACUUUCAAAACUUUCUGAGUUUCUAUUUGCUCAGCCUCCGAAGCAACCUCUGACCUACCUGGUAUCCCAGUCAUCGGAGCCAGUAUCAUACUUAUAGGUAGGCUGGAACGUGAGCUCACCCUCGCUGAAGCCCUCGAAGACAGCCUUAGCAG